GCCCAUCCUCACUUCAAUCUGGACACGACUGCCAGUGUGGUCAAAGAAAGUCAAGUGCCUUGUGAGAUGCAGGACACCACUGCCAGUGAGUUCAAAGAAG
Ornithodoros turicata is the source of this 100-nucleotide long non-coding RNA. RefSeq lists it as uncharacterized. Lineage: Eukaryota; Metazoa; Arthropoda; Arachnida; Ixodida; Argasidae. The record is from RefSeq and is a predicted model, not a curated record. The transcript has 3 exons.